RNAcentral lists this ribosomal RNA (305 nucleotides) under uncultured bacterium. Its description in RNAcentral is "bacterial SSU rRNA". It matches the Rfam family "Bacterial small subunit ribosomal RNA", at positions 333 to 636 of the family's 1533-position model. The record is from RNAcentral.
AUAGCCUACGGGACGCAGCAGUGAGGAAUAUUGGUCAAUGGACGAAAGUCUGAACCAGCCAUGCCGCGUGCAGGAAGACGGCUCUAUGAGUUGUAAACUGCCUUUGUACAAGGGUAAACCUGAAUACGUGUAUUCAGCUGAAAGUACUGUACGAAUAAGGAUCGGCUAACUCCGUGCCAGCAGCCGCGGUAAUACGGAGGAUCCAAGCGUUAUCCGGAUUUAUUGGGUUUAAAGGGUGCGUAGGCGGAUUGAUAAGUUAGAGGUGAAAUGUCCGGGCUCAACUCGGGAACUGCCGCUAAUACUGU